RNAcentral lists this transfer RNA (72 nucleotides) under Elusimicrobiota bacterium. RNAcentral describes it as "Elusimicrobia bacterium (groundwater metagenome) tRNA-Arg". It matches the Rfam family "tRNA". Rfam says of the family: Transfer RNA (tRNA) molecules are approximately 80 nucleotides in length. Lineage: Bacteria; Pseudomonadati; Elusimicrobiota. The record is from RNAcentral.
GCGCCCAUAGUUCAACGGAUAGAGCGCGACCCUGCGAAGGUCGAGAUGUAGGUUCGAUUCCUACUGGGCGCA